AUCUUGCCUGUUGCAGCAGACCUCUUUUAGCUGGCUCUGGUAGAGUCUCUUACAAUUACAAAGAUGUUGCUUUUGCACCCUAUGGUGAUCAAUGGAGAAACAUGAGGAAAUUGAUUGUUCUUGAGUUAUUUAGCUUGAAGAGGGUGCAGUCUUUUUGGUCCCUUAGGGAAGAAGAAGUUGGAUUGCUAAUCAAUUCUAUCUGCGAGGCAGCAUCUUCUGCAACUCCUGUUAAUCUCACUGACAAGUUGUUUGCCCUCACUGCAAAUAUCACAUUUAAGAUGCCUUUUGGAUUCAAUUAUCGAGGGUCUAAAUUUGACACAGAGAGAUUUCGUUUUCAUGAAGUGAUUCAUGAUGCUCAGGUUGUGGCUGGAAGCUUCUCUACAGGUGAAUUAAUUCCAUUUGUGGGUUGGAUUGUUGAUCAGAUAACAGGUCAUCAAGCAAGGACUGAAAGAGUUUUCCAUCAGUUAGAUACCUUCUUGCAAUAUGUAAUCGAUGAUCAUCUAAAACCUGGAAGAAAAAAGAAGCAGGAUGACUUGGUAGAUGUGCUGUUAGGAAUAGAGAAG
RNAcentral lists this unclassified non-coding RNA (563 nucleotides) under Hevea brasiliensis (rubber tree). Lineage: Eukaryota; Viridiplantae; Streptophyta; Magnoliopsida; Malpighiales; Euphorbiaceae. The record is from RNAcentral.